Molecule: ribosomal RNA, 253 nt
Filed under: uncultured bacterium
Lineage: Bacteria
Description: partial 16S ribosomal RNA
Rfam family: Bacterial small subunit ribosomal RNA
Source: RNAcentral
UACGUAGGGGGCAAGCGUUGUCCGGAUUUAUUGGGCGUAAAGAGCGUGUAGGCGGCUUUGCAAGUCCGUUGUGAAAACUCGAGGCUCAACCUCGAGACGCCGGUGGAAACUGCAAAGCUAGAGUCCGGAAGAGGAGAGUGGAAUUCCUGGUGUAGCGGUGAAAUGCGCAGAUAUCAGGAAGAACACCUAUGGCGAAGGCAGCACUCUGGGACGGUACUGACGCUGAGACGCGAAAGCGUGGGGAGCGAACAGG